Molecule: ribosomal RNA, 591 nt
Filed under: uncultured bacterium
Lineage: Bacteria
Description: bacterial SSU rRNA
Rfam family: Bacterial small subunit ribosomal RNA
Source: RNAcentral
GCAAGAUUAAAACUCAAAGGAAUAGACGGGGACCCGCACAAGUGGUGGAGCAUGUGGUUUAAUUUGAAGAUACGCGAAGAACCUUACCUAGCCUUGACAUUGAUAGAAUCUUCCAGAGAUGGAGGAGUGCCUUUCGGGGAACUUGAAAACAGGUGCUGCACGGCUGUCGUCAGCUCGUGUCGUGAGAUGUUGGGUUAAGUCCCGCAACGAGCGCAACCCUCGUCACUAGUUACUAACAGUUAGGCUGAGGACUCUAGUGAGACUGCCUUCGUGAGGAGGAGGAAGGUGAGGACGACGUCAAGUCAUCAUGGCCCUUACGGCUAGGGCAACACACGUGCUACAAUGGUUAGGACAGUGAGAAGCGAUACCGCGAGGUGGAGCCAAUCUAUAAACCUAAUCUCAGUUCGGAUUGUAGUCUGCAACUCGACUACAUGAAGCUGGAAUCACUAGUAAUCGUAGAUCAGCUAUGCUACGGUGAAUACGUUCCCGGGUCUUGUACUCACCGCCCGUCACACCAUGGGAGUUGAUUUCACCCGAAGCGGGGAAGCUAAACUGGCUACCCUCCACGGUGGAAUUAGCGACUGGGGUGAA